Molecule: RNA transcript, 4435 nt
Organism: Nomascus leucogenys (northern white-cheeked gibbon)
Lineage: Eukaryota; Metazoa; Chordata; Mammalia; Primates; Hylobatidae
Gene: GFM1
Gene name: G elongation factor mitochondrial 1
Exons: 21
Source: RefSeq, a predicted model, not a curated record
CUUUUUCCUCGCGUCCUUUGCCCCGGAAGUGCUCUUACAACAUUGGCUGCCGGCGUGACUUUGACCGCUUCCCGGUGCGUUACCGGCAGCUGAACCCACUCGGAGCCGCGGGACUUUGACGCGUGCUCUGCGCUUGCCAUGAGACUCCUGGGAGCCGCAGCCGUCGCGGCUCUGGGGCGCGGAAGGGCCCACGCCUCUCUAGGUUGGCAGAGGAAGCAGGUUAAUUGGAAGGCCUGCCGAUGGUCUUCAUCAGGGGUGAUUCCUAAUGAAAAAAUAAGAAAUAUUGGAAUCUCAGCUCACAUUGAUUCUGGGAAAACUACAUUAACAGAACGAGUCCUUUACUACACUGGCAGAAUUGCAAAGAUGCAUGAGGUGAAAGGUAAAGAUGGAGUUGGUGCUGUCAUGGAUUCCAUGGAACUAGAGAGACAAAGAGGAAUCACUAUUCAGUCAGCAGCCACUUACACCAUGUGGAAAGAUGUCAAUAUUAACAUUAUAGAUACUCCUGGGCAUGUGGACUUCACAAUAGAAGUUGAAAGGGCCCUGAGAGUGUUGGAUGGUGCAGUCCUUGUUCUCUGUGCUGUUGGAGGGGUACAGUGCCAGACCAUGACUGUCAAUCGUCAGAUGAAGCGCUACAACGUUCCGUUUCUAACUUUUAUUAACAAAUUGGACCGAAUGGGCUCCAACCCAGCCAGGGCUCUGCAGCAAAUGAGGUCUAAACUAAAUCAUAAUGCAGCGUUUAUGCAGAUACCCAUUGGUUUGGAGGGUAAUUUUAAAGGUAUUAUAGAUCUUAUUGAGGAACGAGCCAUCUAUUUUGAUGGAGACUUUGGUCAGAUUGUUCGAUAUGGUGAGAUUCCAGCUGAAUUAAGGGCGGCGGCCGCUGACCACCGGCAGGAGCUAAUUGAAUGUGUUGCCAAUUCAGAUGAACAGCUUGGUGAGAUGUUUCUGGAAGAAAAAAUCCCCUCGAUUUCUGAUUUAAAGCUAGCAAUUCGAAGAGCUACUCUGAAAAGAUCAUUUACUCCUGUAUUUUUGGGAAGCGCCUUGAAGAACAAAGGAGUUCAGCCUCUUUUAGAUGCUGUUUUAGAAUACCUCCCAAAUCCAUCUGAAGUCCAGAACUAUGCUAUUCUCAAUAAGGAGGAUGACUCAAAAGAGAAAACCAAAAUCCUGAUGAACUCCAAUAGAGACAAUUCCCACCCAUUUGUUGGCCUGGCUUUUAAACUGGAGGUAGGUCGAUUUGGACAGUUAACUUACGUUCGCAGUUAUCAGGGAGAGCUAAAGAAGGGUGACACCAUCUAUAACACAAGGACAAGAAAGAAAGUACGGUUGCAACGGCUGGCUCGCAUGCAUGCCGACAUGAUGGAGGAUGUUGAGGAAGUAUAUGCUGGAGACAUCUGUGCGUUGUUUGGCAUUGACUGUGCUAGUGGAGACACAUUCACAGACAAAGCCAACAGUGGCCUUUCUAUGGAGUCAAUUCAUGUUCCUGAUCCUGUCAUUUCAAUAGCAAUGAAGCCUUCUAACAAGAACGAUCUGGAAAAAUUUUCAAAAGGCAUUGGCAGGUUUACAAGAGAAGAUCCCACAUUUAAAGUACACUUUGACACUGAGAACAAAGAGACAGUUAUAUCUGGAAUGGGAGAAUUACACCUGGAAAUCUAUGCUCAGAGGCUGGAAAGAGAGUAUGGCUGUCCUUGUAUCACAGGAAAGCCAAAAGUUGCCUUUCGAGAGACCAUUACUGCCCCUGUCCCGUUUGACUUUACACAUAAAAAACAAUCAGGUGGUGCAGGCCAGUAUGGAAAAGUAAUAGGUGUCCUGGAGCCUCUGGACCCAGAGGACUACACUAAAUUGGAGUUUUCAGAUGAAACAUUCGGAUCAAAUAUUCCAAAGCCGUUUGUGCCUGCUGUAGAAAAGGGGUUUUUAGAUGCCUGUGAGAAGGGCCCUCUUUCUGGUCACAAGCUCUCUGGGCUCCGGUUUGUCCUGCAAGAUGGAGCGCACCACAUGGUUGAUUCUAAUGAAAUCUCUUUCAUCCGAGCAGGAGAAGGUGCUCUUAAACAAGCCUUGGCAAAUGCAACAUUAUGUAUUCUUGAACCUAUUAUGGCUGUAGAAGUUGUAGCUCCAAAUGAAUUUCAGGGACAAGUAAUUGCAGGAAUUAACCGACGCCAUGGGGUAAUCACUGGGCAAGAUGGAGUUGAGGACUAUUUUACACUGUAUGCAGAUGUCCCUCUAAAUGAUAUGUUUGGUUAUUCCACUGAACUUAGGUCAUGCACGGAGGGAAAGGGAGAAUACACAAUGGAGUACUGCAGGUAUCAGCCAUGUUUACCAUCCACACAAGAAGACAUCAUUAAUAAGUAUUUGGAAGCUACAGGUCAACUUCCUGUUAAAAAAGGAAAAGCCAAGAACUAACUUUGCUUACUGUGAUUUGACUGACUUUAAUUGAAUCUGCGUGGUUUCGAUACUUUGAUGGAUUCCAGUGGAAUAAACUCAGGCUGCUGAAACAAGAAAUUCUGAGCCCAGGAAGCGGGCUCUUCUUUCUUCAAAAGAAGCCCUUCUUGUUCAUAUUCAGGAGCUUCUGUUACAUUCAAAGGUUGCACAGUGGCUCAGAGAGUAGACUUGGAGCCAGGCUGCCCGGUUUGUAGCCCUGCUUGACCUGUGUGAUCCGAGAAUAAUCUUGUUUAAUCUCCACAAGUUUGAGGACUAAACUGGGUGCCAGAGAGAAUUAAGUAACUUGUCGAGGUUGCAUCAGUAACAAGGGAGCAGAGAAGAGAUUCAAGCUCAGCUUACACUUGGCAAUCCUCUAGGGAGGACUUUGGCUGAACCCAGUGAACCAGGAGGAAAAGAAUCACAAACGUCUGGAGUUUGUUGACUAGAAAAAUUCCCUGUGGUCUGACAGAUUACCAUUUCCCACCCAGCCAUUCUCAUCAGAGAAACGAGUCUCAUUUUCAACUGGCGCGGCUAGUUGAAAGUUCUGCAUGUUUCCCCAGGUGUCUAAAUUAUACGCUUCUGUGUUGAUUUUUCAGAUUAGGCAGAAACUUUGACUUCCUCCUAUGAAAGAUGAAGAUUGAGCACUUUUGUUCUCCAUUCUUCCAAUGUAAUUAUAUUGUAUUUUUUUAAUUAAGUAACUACUCAAAGUUAACUGUUGUGAUUAUUAUAAAUGUUUUCCCCAGUAAGGCACACAGUGUACACUGAUAAUACUUCCGUUGUUAUACAACUUCUUUUUCUUCCUGGAGUUCAAAAUUAUCUUGUUUUGGUAUUUUUCUGUCCCUAAUUCUCCUCCAACUCAUUGCCAGCAGUGUUAAUCUCCUCUUAGUAGUUCAAACACAUCAGGUAAUCAACUGAUUUUUUAUUUUUAACGCAUCCCCUCUGGAGCCCAUUGGCCUCCUGCUCUGAUGUGUCAUUCAGUUCUCCUUAGUUGGAUCCCUCUCUCUCGAAUCCUUUGUAUGCCUUUUUCCUGGUUUGCUCCUUCAUUUUGUGGAAUAUAUCCUCCAGUACCUUCCCAGUAAAGCAUGUUUGGAUUCUAUUGGAUUUUUUUUCCUGUUUUUAUAUUUUUUUAGAACUGAGAGCUCAUUUUUGUUUUAUGAAGAGUUUGUUCUUUUUUGUAGAUGCAGUUAUAUUAUUUCUCUGAAGAUAUUAAUUACAGUUUUCCUGAAAGUUUAUUCUGCUUUUUGUGCUGUGUUGGCUUUCUCUGAAUAUGUAUAUUUGAUUAUAAUCCCCAGUAGUCAUUGUUUAUAAGUCUUUUCUUUGAGGAGCUCAGUUUCUGUAGAGAAGAAAUUUGUAGCCUGUCGCCCCAUGUGUCUAAGCUGAGUCACCAGGACUUUCAGAUGCAGUGGUGAAAGGCUGCUGGCUGUUCUGACCAUUCAGCAUGCUGACUUGCCCCUCAUCCCCUUCUCUGGUAUGUCUUCUGUCAGAUGAGGGAGGUGCCUUGUCUGAUGGAGUGGAGAAGUGAUCAAAGGAUCAAGCUGUAUUUAGUAUAGCCUUUUAAUCAACACCCCACAACCGGAGAGGUUCCUGGGGCCCCCAAUUAUAUGCCUACCAGGGGCUCCAGGGCCAGUCUGUUAUCCUCCUGCCACCUCUCUGCAACCUGUGCCUGGUCUGUAAGUUACUCAUCAUUUACCACCUGCUUUCCAGUUUCCAACAUCGUGUUUACCUUUCUCUCUCCACACUUGUUCCUUUCUCUUUUAGCCUUGUCCUUGAGAUGGUUUGUUUAUUUGUUUUUUGCCUUUAACAAAAUCUCGAUACUGUAGUGAAUUUUGGGGGUGGGAAUAUAGGCAAAAGACAAUGUUCAAAUGUGUCCCUCAAGUUUAAAUGUGUCCCUCAAGUUUCAUAUGUUGGAAACUUAAUCCUCAAUACAGCAGUGUUGAGAGGUGGGACCUUUAAGAGGUGAUGAGGUAAUCAGGACAGUCUUAAUGCCAUUAUCUUGGGAGUGGGUUAGUUACUGUGGGAGUGG